This 341-nucleotide long non-coding RNA is filed under the name Oryctolagus cuniculus (rabbit). Its description in RNAcentral is "lncRNA (ENSOCUG00000032202.1)". Lineage: Eukaryota; Metazoa; Chordata; Mammalia; Lagomorpha; Leporidae. The record is from RNAcentral.
ACAAAAACUGGAAGGAGGAGACAGACAAAAGUCCAACAGUCCUUUGCCAUGGCCCAAUUGGAAAAUAUUUCAGUUGACCUGGACACUGGUUUCAUUUCCAUGAAGAUAUUUCAGGAAAAUUAAAGAUCUGAGGCAUACGGAAAGAAUUCCUAUUUUAUCCUGAUAUUCUUCAUAUGUGGAAUUUUUAUGUGAGAAGAUGAAUAUGUUAAAACUGGUGUUUUGGCAACUCCAUAGAUUUUGAGUCCAGAUAAUUCAUCCAACUGUGUAAUUUAGCCAAAGUCUAGCAAUCCAACAACCUUAAUCAUCUAUCCAUUUAAAAGAGGAAAUAAUACUAUCCUCUC